AAAGUCUCUCUACGUUCAGUUGGCUUGUAUUCCUCGCUGAAUUCGCUCCACACGAAUUGCUGGAAUCCAUAAAUGAGCACUAACACCAAUGUACCUUUGCGAUUCGAAUUUGUCGUUCUCGUUAACGGGAAAUAAAUGAUAAUAUAUCAUGCUAAAAAUUAUUUUUUUGUCAAUUUUUUAUAUAAAAUAUUUGAGAAAAUGUGUUGAAAAAAUAAUUAUAUAUGAUAAAAUUUUUAUAUAUGUAUAUUACGAUCUUUCCUAUGAUAUUAAAAAAUUGAAGUGCUGUUUCAUGGUACUAAGAAAAAGGAUUCUGAAAAUUGAAUUAUAUUAUGUUGAAUUAUAUUGGAUAAUAAAAAAAUUUAUCAACGAUGAAAUAAAGGCGAAUAUACGGAGUUAUUGUUUCGAAGUAUGCAAGAUUUAGAAUUCCAAUAUUUCCGGAAUGCAAUGUUAGGCGACAGUUAACCGGAAACUGGCCCCGGAAAUGAACGGAAGUCAUCCACAUCUUGCAAAAUGAUGUUCGUGACAAUUGAACUAAAAUGGUGAAUCUCUUGCUAGUUUUAUUGAUUGCUCAAUUAUCGAUAUUGUUAAGCUCAUUUUUUAUAAAUUUUUUUAAUUUUUAAAAAUUGCAAUUUUAAUGAUGUUUAUUUGAAUUUUUUUUUAUUUUUGAGUAGAUCUUUACAAUUUUUCACAAUUAAUUUUCUUAAACUUAAAUUUAUAUUGUAAUUUUUUUGUAUUAUUAUUAUUUUAUAUUUUAAAAUUUCUUAUAUUUUUUUGAAAUUCUAUCAACAAAAUCGUCUAGAGAAUUCGUAAAGAAUGUAGUCACGCGUGACUCUUUUCAGUCCCUGGUGAGCUUUCAUAAACAUCGAUCGUCGUCUUUAACUGAGCAAAGUGUUAACAGGUCACUUUCUUAUUUUCAGAAUCUUCCCUCGAAAAGAAUUUUUUAUUCCAAAUAUUUUUAUUACUUCAUAAAUAUUUUCUAUGCACUAAUAAAUAACCGAAUUAUAAAUUACAUUCAUCGUAAUUUAAUAAAAUGAAGAAUAAUUGUAUCUUGAAUUGUAUCAACUUGUGUUAUUUUAAUCAAAAUAAUUUUUUCAUCUUAAGUAUCUUAAUAAUAAUCGCGUCAUAAAACCAUAUAAUCCUAUAAAAAGCUGUAAUCAAGUAUAAUAAAAGAUAAUUUUUCUUAUCAAUGAUCAAUUAUUAUCGAUUGCAUUUAUUAGAAUUCACAAUAAAAUAAAAAUAACUUUAUCAUUAUCAUCCUAACCACAAUUGCAAUCUUAUAAUUAACAGAAUAACAUAAAAAAAAGAAAAAGUAUUUCAACGUAAAAAAACAAUUUUCACAUAAACUAGCAAACCAUAAUAAAAAAAAAAGAGUAAAAAAGAGUUGAUACCGUGUCAGAAUUAGCUACAGAAAAUUACAGGUAGCUGAGCGAAUACCAGUGAAUAUUUUCAUUAGCGAGGAGAGGUUAGAUCUCGAGAUAUACAUAUACUUCAUUUGUUCCAACCUUGUCGAGGCAAAGACUACGAAUGGAUCCAACGACGAGGUGCAUUUUGACGAUUUCUUGUCAAACCGAAAGUUUAAACUGGCACACGUUUGAUGUGUAUUCAAGGAAAAUUACGCUUUAAUUGGAAAGAUACGCGAUAUAAUUCGAAAUGUUCGAUAUCGAUAUGUUUUGAUUUGAUUAAACGAAAUUAGCGCUCACCCUAAUUAUGCUGGACUUUCCCACCCUGGGUGCACCGAGAAACACAACUUUGACACGAUCCAGAGUGUCUGCGGGGCUUUCCUCCUCUUUCGAUCCGCUUUCGGCGUUUUCACAAGUUAUUGUCUCGCCUCCUCUCCUUUCCAAGUAAUCCAGAUCGAGUUCUACGAACCAUUUGUACAAUAUGUAUCUUCGAAAUCUAACAUACGAGAUUGAAAUUUUGUUUAUAAAAUUAUCCUUUACGAGAAAUUAUUUUUAAAGUUUUGUAGAUUCUAAGAUUUUAUUAACAUUUAAAUAAAUUUUUCUGAAAAAUUAUAAAGAAAGUAAUUAUAAAAAAAAUUGACAAAAUAAAUUUUUAAUUAUUUUUUCAAAUUAUAUCAUCGAUUAAUUAUAUUAUGUAGAUAUUUGCUUUUAUCCAUAAUUGAGCAGAAUAAUUACAAGUAAAUUAUUACUAAUAAAAUAAUGUAUUGACAAAAUACAAUAUUGCAAUUCAUUAAUAAGCAAAUGAAUAUAGAUAUAUAUUUCAUAUACAAUAUUUUCUAUCUCCUUUACAUAUAUUAAUUCUAAAAUUUAAUUCUGACAUUCAUCGUUACAAAAAUAAAUUUUCUCGUAUUUAUUAUUUUUAUUAUAUCGGAAUAAAAUUAUAUCGCGAUAAAUUGAAAUUUGCAAUAAAAGAAAAUAUUUGUCGAAUCUAGUUAUCAUUCUAACGUUACAAUAUAUCAGAAUUUUAUGAAGUUAUAAAAAUUCGACGAGAGGGAUGUAUGAUAAUUCGAUAAAAGUGAAUAUAAAAAGCUAGAUAUUUUUCCACUGAUAUCGAAAUCGACUCUGGAUUAUUUUUCAUCCACCUUAGAACUUUCCCGUUGAAAUUUAUUAUUCAUGAAUGAGGCGAAUAUUUUUACGUGUGACGUACAAAGAUUCUUCUCCCCCUUUUUUCCUCCUUUUGAAUGUUAAAAUCAGGUUUAAUCGGUGAUCAGAAUAGUAAAUUCAUCUUGUCGGUCACUUAUUAUAAUAUUCAAGAUUUUUCAUUAAAUUAUAUGGAUAUGAUUUUAUCGAUUUACAUUAUUUUUACCUAAUAUCUGAAAGUGAAAAAAAUUCAUUUUACUUUUUUUUUGAAUGACAACAAAAUUUUUCUCACCGUUAACGAUGUUGCCGAAAAAUAAAAAUAAAAUUUCAAUUUAUUUCAAUUCAAGGGGAAUAUUAAAAUUGAAAAAUAUGAUUUAGCGAAUUUAAAAAAAAUGGAAAUAAUAAAUCUCUAUGAAGACAUAAUAAUUCCCUGGCAAUGAAAUUUAACGUUCGAGAAAUUAGAUUUUUAUAAAUAUGAAACGAGAAUAAAUUUCUCCGACAAUUUUUAAUUAUUGUUAUUAUUAUUAUUAUUAUUAUUA
Molecule: long non-coding RNA, 3079 nt
Organism: Apis cerana (Asiatic honeybee)
Lineage: Eukaryota; Metazoa; Arthropoda; Insecta; Hymenoptera; Apidae
Source: RefSeq, a predicted model, not a curated record